Non-coding RNA from Chlorocebus sabaeus (green monkey), 489 nucleotides. The record is from RefSeq and is a predicted model, not a curated record. Lineage: Eukaryota; Metazoa; Chordata; Mammalia; Primates; Cercopithecidae.
UAUUGGUAUGCUUAUGUUGUCUCUUUUUAGUCUACAGAUGCCUCCAAGGAGUCUGAAAACAAGUCUGAAGUCAAUGACAAGCAAUGAUGGCGAUGGUGAUCCUAGCAAAGAUUGGCACUGAAAGACUGACUCCUACAUAGCCAGUGACCACAGCUUCUGGAACAACAAAAGUAUUAAAUCAUUUAUCCUGAAUAUGGUCAAUGAGCAUGAGAUGAAGAAAUCUACCCAGUACGUGACCACAAAGCAACUCAAAAGCAGCUGGAUGGUCUGGGUAGCUUAUUUCUCUGGAGAGACUCUUAGAGAGUGGCUGCUGCUAUAGCGAUGCUGAGACUGCCUUUUGUGCCUGGAGGAGAUAAUUACUGUGCAUUUGAGAGCAUCAGUGUUCCUCCAGAAGAGACAUUUCUAAAUGCUGCUAGUGUGAAAAAUGAGCUUAUGUUCAUGUAUCCCCUGGGGGAAGGAAAACAGAAAUAAACAAGAAAAAUAAUGCUU